AUUGAACGCUGGCGGCAUGCCUUACACAUGCAAGUCGAACGGUAACAGGUCUUCGGACGCUGACGAGUGGCGAACGGGUGAGUAAUACAUCGGAACGUGCCCGAUCGGGGGGGAUAACGAAGCGAAAGCUUUGCUAAUACCGCAUACGAUCUAUGGAUGAAAGCAGGGGACCGCAAGGCCUUGCGCGAACGGAGCGGCCGAUGGCAGAUUAGGUAGUUGGUGGGAUAAAAGCUUACCAAGCCGACGAUCUGUAGCUGGUCUGAGAGGACGACCAGCCACACUGGGACUGAGACACGGCCCAGACUCCUACGGGAGGCAGCAGUGGGGAAUUUUGGACAAUGGGCGAAAGCCUGAUCCAGCCAUGCCGCGUGCAGGAUGAAGGCCUUCGGGUUGUAAACUGCUUUUGUACGGAACGAAAAGACUCUUUCUAAUAAAGAGGGUCCAUGACGGUACCGUAAGAAUAAGCACCGGCUAACUACGUGCCAGCAGCCGCGGUAA
RNAcentral lists this ribosomal RNA (498 nucleotides) under uncultured bacterium. RNAcentral's name for it is "partial 16S ribosomal RNA". It matches the Rfam family "Bacterial small subunit ribosomal RNA", at positions 30 to 523 of the family's 1533-position model. The record is from RNAcentral.